Molecule: non-coding RNA, 73 nt
Organism: Chinchilla lanigera (long-tailed chinchilla)
Lineage: Eukaryota; Metazoa; Chordata; Mammalia; Rodentia; Chinchillidae
Source: the annotation of a RefSeq genome assembly
GGGGAUAUGGCUCAGUGGCAUAAGCACCUGCCUGGCAAGCACGAGGUCCCGAGUUCGAUUCCCGGUAUCCCCC